CGGGACACGUGGUAUCCUGUCUGAAUAUGGGGGGACCAUCCUCCAAGGCUAAAUACUCCUGACUGACCGAUAGUGAACCAGUACCGUGAGGGAAAGGCGAAAAGAACCCCGGCGAGGGGAGUGAAAAAGAACCUGAAACCGUGUACGUACAAGCAGUGGGAGCACGCUUAGGCGUGUGACUGCGUACCUUUUGUAUAAUGGGUCAGCGACUUAUAUUCUGUAGCAAGGUUAACCGAAUAGGGGAGCCGAAGGGAAACCGAGUCUUAACUGGGCGUUAAGUUGCAGGGUAUAGACCCGAAACCCGGUGAUCUAGCCAUGGGCAGGUUGAAGGUUGGGUAACACUAACUGGAGGACCGAACCGACUAAUGUUGAAAAAUUAGCGGAUGACUUGUGGCUGGGGGUGAAAGGCCAAUCAAACCGGGAGAUAGCUGGUUCUCCCCGAAAGCUAUUUAGGUAGCGCCUCGUGAAUUCAUCUCCGGGGGUAGAGCACUGUUUCGGCAAGGGGGUCAUCCCGACUUACCAACCCGAUGCAAACUGCGAAUACCGGAGAAUGUUAUCACGGGAGACACACGGCGGGUGCUAACGUCCGUCGUGAAGAGGGAAACAACCCAGACCGCCAGCUAAGGUCCCAAAGUCAUGGUUAAGUGGGAAACGAUGUGGGAAGGCCCAGACAGCCAGGAUGUUGGCUUAGAAGCAGCCAUCAUUUAAAGAAAGCGUAAUAGCUCACUGGUCGAGUCGGCCUGCGCGGAAGAUGUAACGGGGCUAAACCAUGCACCGAAGCUGCGGCAGCGACGCUGAUGCGUUGUUGGGUAGGGGAGCGUUCUGUAAGCCUGUGAAGGUGUGCUGUGAGGCAUGCUGGAGGUAUCAGAAGUGCGAAUGCUGACAUAAGUAACGAUAAAGCGGGUGAAAAGCCCGCUCGCCGGAAGACCAAGGGUUCCUGUCCAACGUUAAUCGGGGCAGGGUGAGUCGACCCCUAAGGCGAGGCCGAAAGGCGUAGUCGAUGGGAAACAGGUUAAUAUUCCUGUACUUGGUGUUACUGCGAAGGGGGGACGGAGAAGGCUAUGUUGGCCGGGCGACGGUUGUCCCGGUUUAAGCGUGUAGGCUGGUUUUCCAGGCAAAUCCGGAAAAUCAAGGCUGAGGCGUGAUGACGAGGCACUACGGUGCUGAAGCAACAAAUGCCCUGCUUCCAGGAAAAGCCUCUAAGCAUCAGGUAACAUCAAAUCGUACCCCAAACCGACACAGGUGGUCAGGUAGAGAAUACCAAGGCGCUUGAGAGAACUCGGGUGAAGGAACUAGGCAAAAUGGUGCCGUAACUUCGGGAGAAGGCACGCUGAUAUGUAGGUGAAGCGACUUGCUCGUGGAGCUGAAAUCAGUCGAAGAUACCAGCUGGCUGCAACUGUUUAUUAAAAACACAGCACUGUGCAAACACGAAAGUGGACGUAUACGGUGUGACGCCUGCCCGGUGCCGGAAGGUUAAUUGAUGGGGUCAGCGCAAGCGAAGCUCUUGAUCGAAGCCCCGGUAAACGGCGGCCGUAACUAUAACGGUCCUAAGGUAGCGAAAUUCCUUGUCGGGUAAGUUCCGACCUGCACGAAUGGCGUAAUGAUGGCCAGGCUGUCUCCACCCGAGACUCAGUGAAAUUGAACUCGCUGUGAAGAUGCAGUGUACCCGCGGCAAGACGGAAAGACCCCGUGAACCUUUACUAUAGCUUGACACUGAACAUUGAGCCUUGAUGUGUAGGAUAGGUGGGAGGCUUUGAAGUGUGGACGCCAGUCUGCAUGGAGCCGGCCUUGAAAUACCACCCUUUAAUGUUUGAUGUUCUAAC
This 1823-nucleotide ribosomal RNA is filed under the name Escherichia coli. Its description in RNAcentral is "partial 23S ribosomal RNA". It matches the Rfam family "Bacterial large subunit ribosomal RNA", at positions 418 to 2226 of the family's 2925-position model. The record is from RNAcentral. Lineage: Bacteria; Pseudomonadati; Pseudomonadota; Gammaproteobacteria; Enterobacterales; Enterobacteriaceae.